This 2863-nucleotide ribosomal RNA is filed under the name metagenome. RNAcentral's name for it is "bacterial LSU rRNA". It matches the Rfam family "Bacterial large subunit ribosomal RNA". The record is from RNAcentral.
AAAAGGGUGCAUGGCGGAUGCCUAGGCACUAGGAGCCGACGAAGGACGCGACGAACGGCGAAACGCUACGGGGAGCAGUAAGUAAGCAAAGAUCCGUAGGUGUCCGAAUGAGGAAACUCUGACUUUUAUAAAAGUCAAUCUUAUGCGUGAAUACAUAGCGCAAAAGAGGGGAACUCAGUGAAUUGAAACAUCUUAGUAACUGAAGGAAAAGAAAGUAAAGAAACGAUUCCCUAAGUAGAGGCGAUUGAAAUGGGAAGAGCCCAGCUAACCAAUUAUUUAAGUUACAAAACUUUUAGAUAGUAGAAUUAUUUGGAGGAAUAAACCAAAGAAGGUGAGGAGUCCUGUAUAUGAAAUCUAAAAGACUUAAGGAUAGCGAAGAGUAAGGCGGAGCACGUGAAACUCUGUGUGAAGACGCGAGGACCAUCUCGCAAGGCUAAAUACUACCUAGUGACCGAUAGUGAACCAGUACCGUGAGGGAAAGGUGAAAAGAACCCUUGGCAGGGAGUGAAAAGAACCUGAAACCAUGCACUUACAAUUAGUCAAAGCCCGUUAAAGGGUGAUGGCGUGCCUUUUGUAGAAUGAACCGGCGAGUUACAAUAAUUUGCGAGGUUAAACUUUUAGGAGUGGAGCCGUAGGGAAACCGAGUCUUAAUAGGGCGAAUAUUAGUAGAUUGUUGUAGACCCGAAACCAGGUGAUCUAACCAUGAGCAGGUUGAAGCUUGGGUAAAACCAGGUGGAGGACCGAACCAGGGUCUGUUGCAAUAGACUUGGAUGACUUGUGGUUAGGGGCGAAAAACCAAACGAACCUGGAGAUAGCUGGUUCUCCCCGAAAUAGCUUUAGGGCUAGCGUUAUUUUUAAUUUACUGGAGGUAGAGCACUGAAUGGUUGAUGGCCACACCUAGUGGUACUGAUAUCAAUCAAACUCCGAAUGCCAGUAAAUAUAAAUAGCAGUAAGACUGUGGGUGAUAAGGCUCAUAGUCAAAAGGGAAACAGCCCAGACCGCCAGCUAAGGUCCCGAAAUAUAUGCUAAGUGGGAAAGGAUGUGGAGUUGUAUAAACAGCUAGGAGGUUGGCUUAGAAGCAGCCACCCUUUAAAGAGUGCGUAAUAGCUCACUAGUCGAAUGAUUCUGCGCCGAAAAUGUAUCGGGGCUAAAGCAUAUUACCGAAGCUGCGGAUAUAGAAAAUUUUUUCUAUGUGGUAGGGGAGCGUAGUUAAUGCGCUGAAGCAAGACUGAGAAGACUUGUGGAGUGUUAAGUAGUGAGAAUGCCGGUGUGAGUAACGAAAAGAUGGGUGAGAAUCCCAUCCGUCGAAAGCCUAAGGUUUCCAGAGGAAGGUUCGUCCGCUCUGGGUUAGUCGGGUCCUAAGGUCAGGCUGAAAAGCGUAGCCGAUGGACAUCAGGUUGAUAUUCCUGGACCACUUAUAUGACUGAUGGAAUGACGAAGAAGGCUAGAAUAGGCAAAUUAGUGGAUUUUUGUAGAAGGGUGUAGGUGGAAGAUCUAUGCAAAUCAGGAUCUUUAAUUAAACACUGAAACCAAAAAUAAUUUAUUCGAGGCCCGACUUCCAAGAAAAGUUUCUAAGAUUAUUAUAUAAGUGCCCGUACCGUAAACCGACACAGGUAGGCGAGGGGAAGAAAUCCAAAGACGCGCGAGAAAACUCUUGUUAAGGAACUCUGCAAAAUGACCCCGUAACUUCGGAAUAAGGGGGGCUUACUAUAAGUAAGCCGCAGAUAAUAGGCCCAAGCGACUGUUUAUCAAAAACACAGGUCUCUGCUAAACCGCAAGGUGAAGUAUAGGGGCUGACGCCUGCCCAGUGCUGGAAGGUUAAGAGGAGAUGUCAGAACGUAAGUUCAAAGCAUUGAAUUGAAGCCCCAGUAAACGGCGGCCGUAACUAUAACGGUCCUAAGGUAGCGAAAUUCCUCGUCGGGUAAGUUCCGACCCGCACGAAAGGCGUAACGAUUUGGGCGCUGUCUCAACUCGAGACUCGGUGAAAUCAUAUUAUUGGUGAAGAUGCCAAUUACCCGCGACUAGACGGCAAGACCCCAUGGAGCUUCACUGCAACUUGAUAUUGAUAUUGGGUAUUGGAUGUACAGGAUAGGUGGGAGACUAAGAAGCAAGGACGCUAGUUUUUGCAGAGUCGCCCUUUGGAUACCACCCUUCUAAUAUUUAGUGUCUAACUAGAGGCCAUAAUCUGGUCAUAGGACAGUGUCAGGUGGGCAGUUUGACUGGGGCGGUCGCCUCCUAAAGAGUAACGGAGGCGCCCAAAGGUUCCCUCAGAAUGUAUGGAAAUCAUUCGAAGAGUGUAAAGGCAGAAGGGAGCUUGACUGCAAGAUGGACAUAUCGAGCAGGAACGAAAGUUGGGCUUAGUGAACCGGCUGUGCUGAAUGGAAAGGCAGUCGAUCAACGGAUAAAAGCUACCCUGGGGAUAACAGGCUUAUCUCCCCCAAGAGUUCACAUCGACGGGGAGGUUUGGCACCUCGAUGUCGGCUCAUCGCAUCCUGGAGCUGGAGUAGGUUCCAAGGGUUGGGCUGUUCGCCCAUUAAAGCGGUACGCGAGCUGGGUUCAGAACGUCGCGAGACAGUUCGGUCCCUAUCUGUCGUGGGCGUUGGAAAUUUGAGGGGGGCUGCUCCUAGUACGAGAGGACCGGAGUGGACACACCGCUGGCGAACCAGUUGGCCUGCCAGGGCCAUUGCUGGGUACCUAUGUGUGGAGAAGAUAAACGUUGAAAGCAUCUAAACGUGAAACUUUCCCCAAGAUGAGAUUUCCCAUUUUAUAAGAUCCCUCAAAGAUGAUGAGGUUGAUAGGUUAGGUGUGUAAGUAUAGUGAUAUAUUGAGCUGACUAAUACUAAUAGAUCGAAGACUUAACCUU